RNAcentral lists this long non-coding RNA (239 nucleotides) under Elaeis guineensis (African oil palm). RNAcentral's name for it is "long non-coding RNA (EGUI_LNC003501)". Lineage: Eukaryota; Viridiplantae; Streptophyta; Magnoliopsida; Arecales; Arecaceae. The record is from RNAcentral.
GGGACGGUUCGAGCUUGCCCUAAAUUCUAUCCGUCUUCUCCAAAUUGGCACAUCACCUCUCCGAAAUCUUUGCCUUUCUACUAGAAGCUUUUUCUCUCUCCCUUACAUUUAGUCUCCAAAGCUCUGUGCAAGUCCUUCUUGUGCAAAUGGCUCCCAAAAUGAAGCUUCCACAGAGGAAAAAAUCUGUUCGCAGGUUGGAAGAGAGUGUGCGCAGAAAGAGAUUAGCAGCCGAGCCCUCU